RNAcentral lists this ribosomal RNA (274 nucleotides) under uncultured Prevotellaceae bacterium. RNAcentral describes it as "partial 16S ribosomal RNA". It matches the Rfam family "Bacterial small subunit ribosomal RNA", at positions 68 to 339 of the family's 1533-position model. Lineage: Bacteria; Pseudomonadati; Bacteroidota; Bacteroidia; Bacteroidales; Prevotellaceae. The record is from RNAcentral.
ACAUCGAAAGCUUGCUUUUGAUGGGCGUCGACCGGCGCACGGGUGAGUAACACGUAUCCAACCUGCCGUCUACUCUUGGCCAGCCUUGCGAAAGUAAGACUAAUACCCAAUGACGUCUCUAGAAGACAUCUGAAAGAGAUUAAAGAUUUAUCGGUGAUGGAUGGGGAUGCGUCUGAUUAGCUUGUUGGCGGGGUAACGGCCCACCAAGGCGACGAUCAGUAGGGGUUCUGAGAGGAAGGUCCCCACAUUGGAACUGAGACACGGUCCAAACUCC